CCAAGACAAAAGCAGCACACAGUAAAUCCGGCAACAGCAAAUGCCCCAAGACCUGUUCCUCCAGCUCUCGGGUGUGUUUGCAAAGGGUUGGUUCUGCUUUGUUUUUAUAUAAGGGGCCAGGGAAGGGAAGUGAGGUUUAAAGCAGAGAAGGUAGCCCCUAGGGGCAGCCCCAUGGGGUCAAGGACAGCGGCAAGAUGACCCAGAGGGGCCCUUGGUGGACCCAGGGGACCUGACCACCACCUGGAAACUCUGAGGUCACAGUGCUUUGGGGCACAUGUCGUAAGGGGCCCUUUCAGUACCACUUAUCCCUGCCACCCAGGUAGGGGAGGGUGGGAAUGUCAGUCCUCACCACCCACUCCUUCUAGGCAGAUGCUCCCAAUGCCCCUCCACCCAGCCCCAAGGCCCAGCUGCAUGGCUGGAGUUUUCAUGAGCAAGUUUCACCUGCCUCCAGUCCUCCCAAGUGGUCCUUCCAGCACCUUCCACGGGUCUCCCCAGACAUCCUGCACCCCCCACACCAGCCACGUCACUAUUCAUGCAUUCUUGGUAAAUCCUUGGUACAACCUGAUCUGGACCAACAUUUCUAGAGAAGCCCUGUGAUUACUUCACUCUUGUAUUAAAAUCCUCCAUUUGCUCCUCUCACCCACUACAAAUCUCCUAGUCCUCCAGCUGGAAUUGGCUUCCAAAAUCCAGCUGCAAUGGGAAGGGUGAGGCGGACUCCUCCCCUUCCCCAGCUGCUCAUCCUUGAGCAAGACACUUCAACAACUGAGCCUUGGUUUUCUCAUCUGUGAAAUGGGGAUGAUAAACCAAAAUUGAAAUUCUAAGCCCCCCAACCAUCUGAAUGAACCCCUCCUCUCAGCAAGGCUAUUGACAGCAAUUUGGAAUCUCAGCAGUGCCAAAGCUAACCCGAAAAACUAAUUCAGGCCAUGAUGGGAAGGGUGGGGGGUUGGACAUACCUGAUUCUACCCUCCUCCCUUUUGGAUUUAUUGAUAGACCCUCUAAGUCUGACAAGAAACAUUUACAAUCUAUUCUCUCCAAAGCCUGCCACCUGGAGGCUUCGCCUGCAUAAUAAAACCUUGGUCUCCACACCCACUUAUCUUAA
This 1099-nucleotide long non-coding RNA is filed under the name Homo sapiens (human). Its description in RNAcentral is "HSALNT0383121". Lineage: Eukaryota; Metazoa; Chordata; Mammalia; Primates; Hominidae. The record is from RNAcentral.